AUUGAACGCUGGCGGCAGGCCUAACACAUGCAAGUCGAACGGUAACAGGAAGAAGCUUGCUUCUUUGCUGACGAGUGGCGGACGGGUGAGUAAUGUCUGGGAAACUGCCUGAUGGAGGGGGAUAACUACUGGAAACGGUAGCUAAUACCGCAUAACGUCGCAACACCAAAGAGGGGGACCUUCGGGCCUCUUGCCAUCGGAUGUGCCCAGAUGGGAUUAGCUAGUAGGUGGGGUAACGGCUCACCUAGGCGACGAUCCCUAGCUGGUCUGAGAGGAUGACCAGCCACACUGGAACUGAGACACGGUCCAGACUCCUACGGGAGGCAGCAGUGGGGAAUAUUGCACAAUGGGCGCAAGCCUGAUGCAGCCAUGCCGCGUGUAUGAAGAAGGCCUUCGGGUUGUAAAGUACUUUCAGCGGGGAGGAAGGGAGUAAAGUUAAUACCUUUGCUCAUUGACGUUACCCGCAGAAGAAGCACCGGCUAACUCCGUG
Molecule: ribosomal RNA, 490 nt
Filed under: uncultured bacterium
Lineage: Bacteria
Description: partial 16S ribosomal RNA
Rfam family: Bacterial small subunit ribosomal RNA
Source: RNAcentral